ACAGAUGUAUGGCUCAGAAGACUCACAUAACAGACAAAGAGGGGGUUGUUGAUGCUGAUGCGGUGGAAGCAGCCGAUAGUACAAAAGAGCGUGGGAAUUGCGGUAUUGCAAGUAGCGCAGCUGGAUCGAGAUAAUCAAAAGAAACCAAUGAUGGAAGACGUUGUUGACAAAGGGAAUGAUCUUGAAUUGGCUAAAUCUUUUGUUUAAGUAACUAAGGAGAUUAUUGGAAAGUAGUUGAGGGCAAUAUCGAUCGAUAGAGCCCUGGUUUGAGAAACAAUGGGUCGUGCACCAUCCAUACGCAAAGACACGAACUAUAAUCAACAAGCAAACCGUGCGCUGUGCCGGUAGUGUCAAUCGGCUAUCUCUCCUUUGCAAAGCCAUUUAUUGUCUACACAGCGGUACAGCCUAAUUGAUAGAUGGCCAUAUCGCUCAUAUCCUUCUCCUUCAUCCGCUUCAUCUACUGAACCACCUUUUUCAAGCUUCAGUCACUCGUUUCUGUCCCUUCCGUCUUCUAUCGGAAGAAGGAACAGGUUAUUCCGCAACAUUCACCUCCACAUCACAGGGCCUGAUAUAUUAUUUUGAACCAGGGAAAUGCUAUCCCUGGCAUACAGGCUGUCACCGUGUGGAGGCCCGUGUGUCGUACACGGUCAAAAUGAUUUGAACGCCAUUGUUCUUAUCUGCCGAAGAUACGGUUAAAGAAGUGGUGUACCUGAACAAGUCAAUUGAAAUCAGCGUUAGACGGCAGCAAGUAGCUCGGGUCUCGGUAAUUGUACCGGGGAACUCACUGACGAGGACAUCCUCGUAUACAAAGCAGCUACAUACGCCGCGAGCUUUUUGCUGAACUUUUACAAAAGGGGAUCAAAUGCGAGGCGAAAGAUCAGAGGAGAGGAUUAAGGGCUGAAAAUACCCCUAUGUUCAGCCGUAAGACGUACUAGCUUUCCCCCGAUCUGAUUUUAUCGCUUUUGUUGAUGAAACAUGAACGUCCUAGAUUAUAGGAUGUAAGGUGUACACGAAGCGCCGGCGCGUAAUCGGCGGUGGCUGUCAGGUCUCUUUGUUCAGGUAUGAAAUGAUGAAACGCGUUCGCUUAUCUGGGUGCUUUUUGUUUUUUGUCCGUCUCCAUCGUUCGUGGUUUUGAAGUUCCUUUGUUUUAUUUUUCUCUGAUGAUCUCCGGCCCCGUGCCAGCACUUCUUUUCUUCCCGAAUCCUGAACACAAUCAAGCCCAAUCUUUCGUAAGAAGUUCAUAAUAAAUGGCUGUCAUAACAUUGAGAGUUAAAAUCAUCCUGCACACAAUACGGCUUGCAAUUUACGUACAUCAAAAGGAGCUCAUCAACCAAGGCUUGAUCCUCUCUCAAAGUACAGCGUUCAAUUGAUGGAGCUGCAAAGCAGAACGCCGCAAGCAUGCAAGGGAGAGAGGAGCGGACAGACGGCCCAAUAAUAAUAUGGUGACAGCAGAGCGUGCAUAACAACCUAUUCACUCCUUUUUCUGGCCAGAAGCUGUCUCUUAGUUUUUUGCU
This 1514-nucleotide small RNA is filed under the name Cryptococcus neoformans H99. RNAcentral describes it as "Cryptococcus neoformans var. grubii H99 hypothetical RNA". The record is from RNAcentral. Lineage: Eukaryota; Fungi; Basidiomycota; Tremellomycetes; Tremellales; Cryptococcaceae.